AUUGAACGCUGGCGGCAGGCCUAACACAUGCAAGUCGAGCGGAUGAAGGGAGCUUGCUCCUGGAUUCAGCGGCGGACGGGUGAGUAAUGCCUAGGAAUCUGCCUGGUAGUGGGGGAUAACGUCCGGAAACGGGCGCUAAUACCGCAUACGUCCUGAGGGAGAAAGUGGGGGAUCUUCGGACCUCACGCUAUCAGAUGAGCCUAGGUCGGAUUAGCUAGUUGGUGGGGUAAAGGCCUACCAAGGCGACGAUCCGUAACUGGUCUGAGAGGAUGAUCAGUCACACUGGAACUGAGACACGGUCCAGACCCCUACGGGAGGCAGCAGUGGGGAAUAUUGGACAAUGGGCGAAAGCCUGAUCCAGCCAUGCCGCGUGUGUGAAGAAGGUCUUCGGAUUGUAAAGCACUUUAAGUUGGGAGGAAGGGCAGUAAGUUAAUACCUUGCUUUUUUGACGUUACCAACAGAAUAAGCCCCGGCUAACUUCGU
RNAcentral lists this ribosomal RNA (483 nucleotides) under uncultured bacterium. RNAcentral's name for it is "partial 16S ribosomal RNA". It matches the Rfam family "Bacterial small subunit ribosomal RNA", at positions 30 to 506 of the family's 1533-position model. The record is from RNAcentral.